CGGUUCGGAGGCGGGGCAGGUGGGGGCGGGCCCAGGUAGCAGGUUCGGCUGCGCGGGGGCCGAGCGUCGGAGUUUCGCCCUUUCCAGGGUGAGGAUGGUUCUACACAGCCACCCGGAGUUCUUUAGUUGAAAGGUGCGCCUUGUUGUGACAGCAUGGGCACCACAUUGCUGAAAACAUGCUUUGGGACUUCCACUGAAUUUAUCUUUUGUGGUUUUAUGACAAAGUUAUUAGUAGUUUCCUUUUUUUGACUUAGUAUUUUGAAGUUAAUAUCACAAUGAGUUCAGGCUUAUGGAGCCAAGAAAAAGUUACCUCGCCCUACUGGGAAGAGCGGAUUUUUUAUUUGCUUCUUCAAGAGUGCAGCGUUACAGACAAACAAACACAAAAGCUCCUUAAAGUACCGAAGGGAAGUAUAGGACAGUAUGUUCAAGAUCGUUCUGUGGGGCAUUCAAGGAUUCCUUCUGCAAAAGGCAAGAAAAAUCAGAUUGGAUUGAAAAUUCUAGAGCAACCUCAUGCAGUUCUGUUUGUUGAUGAAAAGGAUGUUGUAGAGAUAAAUGAAAAGUUCACAGAGUUACUUUUGGCAAUUACCAAUUGUGAGGAGAGGUUCAGCCUGUUUAAAAACAGAAGCAGACUAAGUAAAGGCCUCCAAAUAGACGUGGGCUGCCCUGUGAAAGUACAGCUGAGAUCUGGGGAAGAAAAAUUUCCUGGAGUUGUGCGCUUCAGAGGACCUCUGUUAGCAGAGAGGACAGUGUCGGGAAUAUUCUUUGGAGUUGAAUUGCUGGAAGAAGGUCGUGGCCAAGGUUUCACUGAUGGGGUGUAUCAAGGGAAACAGCUUUUUCAGUGUGAUGAAGAUUGUGGUGUGUUUGUUGCAUUGGACAAGUUGGAACUCAUAGAAGACGAUGAUACUGCGUUGGAAAGUGAUUAUGCAGGUCCAGUGGACACGAUGCAGGUCGAACUUCCUCCUUUGGAAAUAAACUCCAGAGUUUCUUUGAAGGUUGGAAAAACAAUAGAAUCUGGAACAGUUAUAUUCUGUGAUGUUUUGCCAGGAAAAGAAAGCUUAGGAUAUUUUGUUGGUGUGGACAUGGAUAACCCUAUUGGCAACUGGGAUGGGAGAUUCGAUGGAGUACAGCUUUGCAGUUUUGCGUGUGUUGAAAGUACAAUUCUAUUGCACAUCAAUGAUAUCAUCCCAGAGAGUGUGACACAGGAAAGGAGGCCUCCCAAACCUGCCUUUAUGUCAAGAGGUGUUGGGGACAAAGGUUCAUCCAGUCAUAAUAAACCAAAGGCUACAGGAUCUACCUCAGACCCUGGAAAUAGAAACAGAUCUGAAUUAUUUUAUACCUUAAAUGGGUCUUCUGUUGACUCACAACCACAAUCCAAAUCAAAAAAUGCAUGGUACAUUGAUGAAGUUGCAGAGGACCCUGCAAAAUCUCUUACAGAGGUAUCUACAGACUUUGACCGUUCUUCACCACCACUCCAGCCUCCUCCUGUGAACGCACUGUCCACCGAGAACAGAUUCCAUUCUCUACCAUUCAGUCUGACAAAGGUGCCCAACAGCAAUGGAAGUAUUGGCCACAGUCCACUUUCUCUGUCAGCACAGUCUGUGAUGGAAGAGCUAAACACUGCACCUGUCCAGGAGAGUCCACCCUUGGCCAUGCCUCCUGGGAACUCACAUGGUCUAGAAGUGGGCUCAUUGGCUGAAGUUAAAGAGAACCCACCUUUCUAUGGGGUAAUCCGUUGGAUCGGUCAGCCACCAGGACUGAAUGAAGUACUCGCUGGACUGGAACUGGAAGAUGAAUGUGCAGGCUGUACCGAUGGAACCUUCAGAGGCACUCGGUAUUUCACCUGUGCUCUGAAGAAGGCGCUGUUUGUUAAACUGAAGAGCUGCAGGCCUGACUCUCGGUUUGCAUCACUGCAGCCGGUUUCCAAUCAGAUCGAGCGCUGUAACUCUUUAGCAUUUGGAGGCUACUUAAGUGAAGUAGUAGAAGAAAAUACUCCUCCCAAAAUGGAAAAAGAAGGCUUGGAGAUAAUGAUUGGGAAGAAGAAAGGCAUUCAGGGUCAUUACAAUUCUUGUUACUUAGACUCAACUUUAUUCUGCUUAUUUGCUUUUAGUUCUGUUCUGGACACUGUGUUACUUAGACCCAAAGAAAAGAAUGAUGUGGAAUAUUAUAGUGAAACCCAAGAGCUGCUGAGGACGGAAAUUGUUAAUCCUCUGAGAAUAUAUGGAUAUGUGUGUGCCACAAAGAUUAUGAAACUGAGGAAAAUACUUGAAAAGGUGGAGGCUGCGUCAGGAUUUACCUCUGAAGAAAAAGAUCCUGAGGAAUUCUUGAAUAUCCUGUUUCAUCAUAUUUUAAGGGUAGAACCAUUGCUAAAAAUAAGAUCAGCAGGUCAAAAGGUACAAGAUUGUUACUUCUAUCAAAUUUUUAUGGAAAAAAAUGAGAAGGUUGGAGUUCCCACAAUUCAGCAGUUGUUAGAAUGGUCAUUUAUUAACAGUAAUCUGAAAUUUGCAGAGGCACCAUCAUGUCUGAUUAUUCAGAUGCCUCGAUUUGGAAAAGACUUUAAACUAUUUAAAAAAAUUUUUCCUUCUCUGGAAUUAAAUAUAACAGACUUACUUGAAGACACCUUCUUAACUCCCCUCCCACUCCCCACAUUUCAGCUCCCAGGCAGUGCCGGAUAUGUGGAGGGCUUGCAAUGUACGAGUGUAGAGAAUGCUAUGAUGAUCCGGACAUCUCAGCUGGAAAAAUCAAGCAGUUUUGUAAAACCUGCAACACUCAAGUCCACCUUCAUCCCAAGAGGCUGAAUCAUAAAUAUAACCCAGUGUCACUUCCCAAAGACUUACCUGACUGGGACUGGAGACACGGCUGCAUCCCUUGCCAGAAUAUGGAGUUAUUUGCUGUUCUCUGCAUAGAAACGAGCCACUAUGUUGCUUUUGUGAAGUAUGGGAAGGACGACUCUGCCUGGCUCUUCUUUGACAGCAUGGCCGAUCGUGAUGGUGGUCAGAAUGGCUUCAACAUUCCUCAAGUCACCCCAUGCCCAGAAGUAGGAGAGUACCUGAAGAUGUCUCUGGAAGACCUGCAUUCUUUGGACUCCAGAAGAAUCCAAGGCUGUGCACGAAGACUGCUUUGUGAUGCGUAUAUGUGCAUGUACCAGAGUCCAACAAUGAGUUUGUACAAAUAACUGGGGUCAUCAGGAGAGGUGAAGAAACUGAAGGCAGUCUUAACGUUGGAUCUUAUUUGAGCUGGCAGUCUGUUCCACGUCCAUUGCCGGCAAUGGAUGUCUCUGUGGUGAUGAUCCUUCAGAAAAGGAUGCCUGUGUUUAAAAACAAAUUGCUUUUGUGUUCCUGAAGUAUUUCAUAAGAAGCAUUUUGCACUCUAGAAAGUAUGUUUGUGUUGGUUUUUUAAGAAGUCUAAACGAAGUUAUUAAUACCUGAAGCUUUAAGUUAAGUGCAUUGAUCAUAUGAUAUUUUUGGAAGCAUACAAUUUUAAUUGUGAAAGUUUAAAGCCUCUUUUAGUCCAUUGAGAAUGUAAAUAAAUGUGUCUUCUUUAUGGACCAAGGAUAUGAAAUCAUUUUUCCUUUGUAGCUAACGGUUGCCUUGAGGAAGAAAUAAUUUGGUUUUAUUAAGAAUCUACUCUCAAGCCAGUUAUUAAAGGUGUACUGAGUUUGAUUUGUUAAUCCUUUCUAUAUACUGCUGAUCCUUGCAUGUCUACAAUCUGCUCAGUUUUUCUGUGUUUCUGCAAUAGUGGUCAGAAAAAUACUUAAAUUCCCUUAAUGCUGUUGUUUUCUAUUUGUUCUGGUUUUGAGAUAAAUGAGUGAUUCUGUCCCCAAAUGUCCAUUUUUCAAGUGAUUUUUCUGGAGGAUUAGGGUAUUCAGCAGUUGAAGCUCUUCAUUCAUAGUAGUUACUAUCAGCGAACAGGUUUUUUUUUUUAAGGCUUUUAACUAUUAAUAUUUUAUGGAAUGGGGCAUAGUAAAUUGAUAAAAGAACUAGAGUGAUAAGUAAAUAAGAUAGUCCUAUACAAACAUACAGUCGCUAAGAAAAUGAAUUUGGCAUAUAGAAUUACUCUUUAAAAUUUCCCUGAAGAGAUGGAUAUUUAAACUUCUGUUAUUUUAGACAAGAUUGUCCAGAACUUAGGUUCGAUCUGUCAGCCAGUAAUCCCAUUACAUUCAGUGUGAUGUCACUUGAGAUAAUGAAUCAGAUAUGUCAUCGAAAUGUUAGCAGCAGCUUCAUCCUCCUUCUGAUUAAGUGGCAAUGGGAUGUUUUGUUUAAUAAUAGCCAUAGUGUGUGUAGACCACAGUGGAUGUUGUAGACCAGGACCGUAGAUUAUACAUGUCCUUGCUGUGGGAUGUGCAUUCUCUCAGUGUUGUUUUGUAGUAUCUGUUUUGUAGUAUCUCUAAGUGUCGUUUUGUCUUUCUGGAAUGACUUUCUAACUGUGCAGAAAGGCAGAAAAGUUGUCAUAUGUGUAUGACAUAUGACUUUGUAAAAUAAUGUGAAAAAAAGUGGAAAGAAUCUUUACAUACCCUGCAGUUACUUUUUUAAAGGCACUUUUAUUCUUCAGUUUUAUCAUUCCAUUUUGCAAAUAUCUACUAGCUUUAUAAACUACAAUAAGGUACAAAAACUCAUCUUGUAAUUUUUUCAUUUUUGAAAUGAAAAAGUACAUAUAUUUUGCACAAGGUUUUGUACUGCUAAGUGCUUGGUUGGGGUGGUGAGAUGAUGAUUAGAUCAGGGGUGAGGCUGAGGGACUCCGGGUUUAGGGCUAGUCCUGCCUCCAUCUCCCUUGGGUAAAAUGAAGGGUGUGGGGUAUAAUUCACAUAAGGCCUUUUCUAGCUCUGACCACCCAGAAGUCCAGUCACGCUGUAAUAAAUAUGUGUUGAAUGAAGAAAUGGAUGAAUGAGCUUGUCAAUGUGAUUUUUAAAAACUUGUCUACCUGGAGGAAUGAUUAGGAAUCUAAAUGGGGCCAGCCCUCGACAUCUGCAGGUUUCUCAUCCAUGGAUUCAACCAACUGCAAAUGGAAAAUAUUACUUAAAAAAAAGGAGGGUUGCAUCUCUAUUGAACAUGUACAGAUUUUUUUCUUGUCAUUAUUCUCUGAACAAUACAAGAACUCUUUACGUAGCAUAUACAUUUAUUAGGUAUUAUAAGUAAUGUAGAGAUGAUUUCAUUAAAAUAUACAGGAGGAUGUGUCAAUUAUAUGCAAAUUUUGUUCCAUUUCAUAUAAGGGACUUGAGCAUCUUCAGAUGUUGGUAUCUGCAGGGAUCCUUGAACCAAAACCCUUCAGAUACUGAGGGCUGGCUUGGUAAGACUGGAUUUAACAGUUAAAAUUUAAAAAAGGAGAAACAAGACAGUUCCUUUUCCGUAGAAAUUAAAAUGCAAGGUGAGGAAUCUCUGCUACCCAGGCUGUCAUGGUAGAGGACUUGAAGAAAACCUGUUUGGAUGUACACCUGGUUUCAAAACUCAGGUGUGGGGACUGUCUUAAAUGGGAGGGCCUCAUCCGUAAAUGAUUUCUGAUGACGUCUUCUUCAGGUGGAGCUUGAUGUCCUUUUAAUGUUACUUGGGGAGGGAGUUCUUAUCAAGGGAUGCCAAGGCCAGCUCUGGUGGUUCCUGGGGAGGCUGGGUUCUUCCCUGCUUCUGCGUGUCGUGGGGCAGCAGGAAGGUUUCUCCCUCACGUGUCUGUCCUGGCUCCUUCUGGGUAGCCCCUCCUGUUCUGCACUUGACAAAUCAGAGCCUGAUUUGUCAAGAGGGGCAUAGUUUGGGCUGGGCUGCAUGGUGCGAGGGCCAGUGUGCCUGCUGGCUAUUUAAUUUUUGGCCUUAGGUUUUCUUUAAUAUUUUCCUGUUGGCUUCUUAAAGGUUUUGGUUAUCUUUUUUUUCCUUAUCUACAAUCAAGAUGACAAUGUAAUCAAAUCAUCUCAUUUAUAACAUGGUUCAUGAUUCAUAACUAUGAGUAGAAAAUAUGUCAUGUUCCCCAACUCCAGAUAAAUGUGUGUGUGUGUGUUUGUGUGUGUGUAUGUGUGAGAGGGAGAGAAUGGGGAAGGAGAGCAAUGUUAUUAUAUAUAGAGAGGCUAAAUGUGUUCCAUCCCUCACUAUCAGCUUUAUAAAGGAGUUUGACUCCAUCCACGAAAGAAUGUUUUGUAAGACUAGGAAAACACAUUGAAAACUAGGAAAAACUGCAAGAAAAAUCAACUUACUAUGUCGUUCCCAUUGUUAAGGAUUUUUUCCUUAGGAUAAUUCAGGAUUUUAAAAAAUUUAUAUUUGUAAAACGGCUGUAAAUAAAUGGCCAAGUUCUUCCUAUCCUUAGGAUUCUUUUUUUUUUUUUUUCUCACAGAUUUUGAGAACAAGGGGAAGACCAUUUAUGGAAGAUUAAGAUUCCAUAAAUCUUAUAGAACUGUACUGUUGCCCAAAUUCUUGCUUGUUUGAAUAUGGCAUAUUCAUAGACUCAGGAUUCAUUACCCUCUAUAGCUGGAUCUUGAAAAUUACCCAGCCAGAUAAUUUCGCAUCUGCUUGGAUGAUUGUAGACCGGGAUGUGAAUGGAGGAUAAAGUAUUAGGCCUUCGCUGAGUAACUACCGACCAAGAAGCAUUUAUCAGACACUUACUAGGUGCCUAGGAUUGUAUCAGAGGGAACAUGAGACGGGUCCCUGCCCUACCUAGUUUUAAUGACAGAAUAUCUAUUAAAGGGUGCUUAGCUGAAGGGUACGGGUGACAGGUCUAGGGGAAGCUCUGGGAGGUGGUGUGGUGUGACAGAAAAAGGAGCAGACUGGGGCCAAGAGACCCGCGUUCUAGCCCUGUUCCUGUCACUUGCUUUGUAUGCUUAGAAAACAGGUUGGCCUCUUGGGCUUUAGUUUCCUCCUCUACAUAAUGAGAGGGUUAGACUAUUGAAUUUUGUAGGAAAGAAAUAUAAAUUCCUGGGUCCUAGGCCAUGCCUACUGAAUCCAAUUGUUCUUGAAGAGGCCUAGGAGAUCUGUGAGGGGAGGUUCCCCAGGGGAAUCCGGUGACCAGCCAGGAGUGAAAUCUGCUAACUGGAAGAUCGCAAAGUUUCCUUCACUUUUUGUGAUUUUGUGAUCAUGUAAUGUUACUGUAUUACUUAUGUCAAUGUGGGUACUUGGAUGUUUAUCAUACUGUUUCUCUGUGUUUACAUAUUAAUUUAUGUAAGAAAUGCAUUUUAGUCUAUGUUCCUCAACCUGCUGUUUCCUACAGGUGUUAGUAGUCGUUGAAUACAAGUAAGACUUAAGAGAUAUUUGAUGUUAUUUACCUGGACAUCUUCUUUCCUUUUAUUUAUUUAGAGGAAAUUGAGAUUCUAGGAGCCAAAAAAAAGUAAAAAAGAAAAAAAGAAAAGAAAACAAAAUUCUUAGGCAAAGUUAAAGAAAAGAAAUUACAUUCUUUCUUACUAUUUGCUACUUUAUAAUGAAAAUUUUUAAAUUAUAUGGGAAGAUUUUUCUCUGGGAUAACAAAUCCUUGUCAGAAAGAAAGAGGUCUUUUUAAAGUAAUUAAGGCCUGUAAUUUAAAAUAAUGCCUUUCUCUAGAGGUUGGUGAUGUGAAUAACACAUCCACAAUUCUCUAUUAAUGAAGAUAAUAUUUGAAUUUCCCAAAGCAGGUGAUGAGUUGGGGAGGAGAAAGAGAUGUUAAAAUGAAAACUCAUGUGCAAAAGAGGAGGUGGAGGAAGAAGUAAUAUAAACUCCUUAAAGCAGAUAUGCACGGGGCCAUAUGAAGGCCAGGAUUCUGUGGGUGUCAGGGGAUUGCCCCUCUUGACAGAAACUGGGGUUUUCGACCGAGGCUUCCUUCAGGGAGUCUUGCCUUGCACUUCUCUGACCUUUCAGACCUCCUUUUGGGUAGAAGAGAUGGGAGGAGGGGAGAAAGACUGUUCAACUGAUUCUAAAUCCUGGAGCAGCUGAAGGCUCUCUCGGGUCACAACGCAGUGCUAAAACAUUAACCAGCAAGUAUGGCCAAGGAUAGUGAAAACAUGGGAAAGAAAGACAAGACCUUCCUCCUCCCUGAUCAUAGCAUCCAUCAGUGUCUGUAGCCAGCUUACUCAAGAGCCCCGUUUGAUUUCCUGGCCCUUUGCCUUGGCAGUGAUGACAUUUUUAUUUCACUGUAUUUUAAAGUCUUCAUUUAUUUUUAUAACAUGGGUUAAGGAGAAGGGCCACUAAUGGAGGGAACUGUCCUUUCAAGAACCACAGCUUCCGAUAUAAUAAGUACUUUACAAAACUGUCCACUUUAACUUAAAAAAAUUCUAGUGGGAUUAUACUGGAGACUCAACUACCCUUGGUUUUAGUUACUAAAAUGGCCUAGUACUGUGUAAUUCUAAUUUUAGGAAGUCUUAGCAUCGGAUCAUAAACAUUCAUUAAAAGAACUCACAUCCCAUUUGAAACUUCCCAGGGGAGUCGGGAUUCUUAGUAGAUUGGUAGAAAGGGGCUCAUUUUAUACUGUAUUUCCCACUUCUGGUAUCUUGUUCAGCAUUUUUUAUUGUUAUUUUUUUGUCUGCAGAACAUCCUAUAUUUAUGACAACAUUCUUUAAGAAGGACACCAUGUAGAACAUCCCUUACUAUCAGCUUGCUCUGAUUUAGCCUUAAUUUUGUUAAAUUUUUUAGAGAUGAAUGAAGUGCUGCUGUGGAAAGAAAUGUACAUAUACUAUUUCUGUAUCAUUAAAAAUUACAUUUUUAUGGUUC
This is a non-coding RNA of Saimiri boliviensis boliviensis (Bolivian squirrel monkey), 8648 nucleotides long. The record is from RefSeq and is a predicted model, not a curated record. Lineage: Eukaryota; Metazoa; Chordata; Mammalia; Primates; Cebidae.